This is an RNA transcript of Ipomoea triloba (trilobed morning glory), 2363 nucleotides long. It is a transcript of the gene named putative late blight resistance protein homolog R1A-4, with no coding region annotated. The record is from RefSeq and is a predicted model, not a curated record. NCBI's taxonomy places the organism in Eukaryota, Viridiplantae, Streptophyta, Magnoliopsida, Solanales, Convolvulaceae. The transcript is spliced from 3 exons.
CAUCUUCAAUAAUCUCAAUACGCAGAUCUAGAAAAAGAAAAAUUGAGAGACACUGUGAGAUCUGAGCUGAGCUUCAUUCUUCAAUUACUUUCCCUUCAUCUCAAUGGCCACGGAAACAACUUCCACUAGUUCUCGUAAUCAGGGUGCUUCUGCUGCAACGCCUCAACAAGUGUUCAUGGUGGGUAACAACAAUGCAUUGGAAGAAAUUAAGGACAAGCUCACCAACUCCUCAAAAGAAAGAGAAGUCAUCUCCAUCACAGGAAUGGGAGGUAUUGGCAAGACGACUUUGGCAAAAAACGUUUAUGAAGAUAAAGACAUCAAGCGUCAUUUUGAUAUUCAAGCAUGGAUUACUGUGUCUCAAUCUUAUUCCUUGGAUGAUUUGCUCCGAGUGCUCCUCCAAUCAAUUGACGUUUCUUCUCCAACAGAAGAACAAUCUGCAGGAACCUUCGAACUCAAGGAUAAAGUCCGUAAGUUGUUGCUGGGAAAGAGAUAUCUAAUUGCAAUAGAUGACAUAUGGAGUACACAAGUUUGGGAGGAUUUGAAGAUAUGCUUCCCAUCAGAAAAGAGAAAUGGGAGUCGAGUAUUGUUGACAACUCGACUCACAAAUGUGGCUACUCAUGCUAGUUCUGGUGGUCUCCCAUUUAGCAUGCCUACCCUAAGCAAAGAAGAAAGUUGGGAUUUAUUUUGCAAAAAAGUGUUUGCAAAAGGAUCUUGUCCUCCUUCUAUUGAAUUUGAGGAAAUUGGGAGAGAUAUUGUGAUGAAAUGCAAAGGAUUACCACUCUCAAUUAUGGUGAUUGCUGGGAUUCUAUCCAAAGCUGAAAUGAAGGUGGAAGAUUGGGAAAAUGUUGCCAAAGAUGUAGCAUUAUCAUCAACUUUAUUUGAGGAGCAAAAUUGUGAGGAAAUACUUUUAUUGAGUUACAACCACUUGCCUGAAAAUCUAAAGACUUGCUUCUUAUAUUUAGGAGUAUUUCCAGAAGAUUAUGAGAUUCCAGCUCGAAGAUUAGUUGGACAUUGGGUCGUUCAGGGAUUUGUAGAAGAUGAUGAGGCUUUGGUGGCUAACAAUAAAGAAGAAGUGGCACGGCAAAAGUUGCAAGAUCUUAUUGAUAGAAAUUUAAUUUUGGUGGAGAAAAGGGGAUGGAGUGGAAGAAUAAAGACGUGUAAGAUCCAUGACCUUACACAUGAGAUGUGCUUGAGACUAGCUAAAGGUAAAAAUAUAUUGCAUAUCUACAAGUUUCAAGUUGGGCAAUCCUUCAAAGAAAUAAGUCAAGAAAAUGGCAAUUUUUGGGUAAGCCUACAAUCAAUUUCUAAUAUUAGUCGUUUAGGUUUUGACCAUAGGACACUCUAUAAAUGCCAUUCCUUUCUUGCUAUGUUUCCAUCUAAAUAUAGAUACAGAACGCGUAGAGGAAGUCGGAUCCUUACCAAUUACUUGUUGACAGCAACAUCAAUUCAAAUUGAAGAGAAUGGAAACAAGAAGCUAAGCAUCACAUGUUCUCCUACCACUUUGAAGGUAACUUUAAUUUGAUGACUCCACCAUCAUAUCAACUGAAGCAAGCACCCAUACAUACCUCUUAGCUCCCUAAACAAAUCCUAAGCUCUGUCAAUGUUGUUGUGAUUUAAGAAGCAGAACAAUAUGUAGGAAAUCUCAAGAUACAACAGAGUGGCAGGCUACAUCUCAAGCAAACUAUUAAAGGUGUCUAAGAUUGGGGUUUCAUAUGGGUAAACAUCUUCAUUGCAAACUCGGCUAGUUUCUCAGUGGAAGGCAUCACAUCCUUCACGGCAUCAUCAGCGCAGAAAUCUUGUGCCCAAUUGGCCAAACCAGGAACCUUAGCUUCAUCCACAAACUUAAUCCUGUUAAAUGUCUCGGUCACCCUUAUCCAGGCCAUAAAGCAUCCCAGUGCAAUGUCCAAGAACCCCAUUCUCUCUCCCCCAAAGAAUUUCUUCCCUUUGCUGCAACUUUGGAAGGCACCCUCCAACACCCCCAAGCCUUCUUCCACCUCACUUAUCGCUGCCUUUUUGGCUUCCUCAUCCUGAGCAGUUGCCACGGUUUGCAGCUUUGGGAACCACUGCACCACAAAAAAUUACAAUUAUGUUGGGCGGAGGCUGAUAAGAGCCAAGUCCAGCACUAUGUAACUAGGAGAAUUGUUGGGCAAGACAAGUAGGAUAACUCUCAAAAAUCUGUGGUGUAAAAAAAUUAAAUUGCUCUACCAACUGUAACUUUUAGCGUAUUGAUAAGUGUUUCAUCUUAAUAAGUAGUAUCUGGGGAUUCGAGACACAGUUUCAGUGAUUUUCCGCCAUAUGGAGCUCAUUUUCUCCGGUCAACGAAAAUCAUUUUACAUUGAAUGGGUUUUUCAGUGAUUGCCAAA